GAACGCACCUUGCGCCCCUUGGUAUUCCGAGGGGCACACCCGUUUGAGUGUCGUGAAAAUCUCAACCUUCUCGGUUUCUUCUGGAAACCAAAGGAGGCUUGGACUUUGGAGGCCUUUGCUGGCGUCUCUCUCUUUUGAGAGCCCAGCUCCUCUUAAAUGAAUUAGCGGGGUCCUCUUUGCUGGUCCUCGACAUGUGAUAAGAUGUUUCCAUGUCUUGGUUUCUGGCUCUGUUGCUUUUGGGACCCGCUUCUAACCGUCUCUAUGAGACAACGUUUGAGCACGUCUCCCGACGCUCUCAACCUCACGAACCCUUGACCUCAAAUCGGGUGAGACUACCCGCUGAACUUAAG
This 350-nucleotide unclassified non-coding RNA is filed under the name Lactarius scoticus. RNAcentral describes it as "sequence contains 5.8S rRNA gene". Lineage: Eukaryota; Fungi; Basidiomycota; Agaricomycetes; Russulales; Russulaceae. The record is from RNAcentral.